GCACAUUACUGAUCUGCAGCUGGGGAGAGGUGGUAGCAAGCUCCUCUCCCAUACAUACUUCCAGCCUCCAUGGAGGGAGACCGACUGCCUCUCCUCCCAAUACAGAGUCCUGCUGCUGGGGAAAGGAGACUGGGCUCUCUAUUCCCUGCUGGAUACUCUGCCGCUGGGGACUAGAGACUGGGCUCCCAAUUCCCAACAAAUAACACUGCCGCUGGGGAAUGGAGACUGGGCUCCCAAUUCCCGGC
This 245-nucleotide long non-coding RNA is filed under the name Pelobates cultripes (western spadefoot toad). Lineage: Eukaryota; Metazoa; Chordata; Amphibia; Anura; Pelobatidae. The record is from RNAcentral.